UCGAUGAAGAACGCAGCGAAAUAGCGAUAAGUAAUGUGAAUUGCAGAAUUCAGUGAAUCAUCGAAUCUUUGAACGCACCUUGCGCCCCUUGGCUAUUCCGAGGGGCAUGCCUGUUUGAGUAUCAUGAACACCUCAACUCUCAUGGUUUGCCAUGAUGAGUUGGACUCUGGGGGUUUUGCUGGCCUGUGGUCGGCUCCUCUCAAAUUAAUCAGCCUCCCAGUGUUUGGUGGCAUCACGGGUGUGAUAAAUAUCUACGCUCGCUGUUGUCUGCCAGGUAACCUUUGGUCACAAAGGUUUGCUGGAGCUCACAGAUGUCUCUCCUCAGCGAGGACAGUCUUUUAACGUUCGAUCUCAAAUCAGGUAGGACUACCCGCUGAACUUAA
RNAcentral lists this ribosomal RNA (383 nucleotides) under uncultured Thelephora. RNAcentral describes it as "eukaryotic LSU rRNA". The stretch from base 1 to 124 matches the Rfam family "5.8S ribosomal RNA", at positions 33 to 154 of the family's 154-position model. The record is from RNAcentral. Lineage: Eukaryota; Fungi; Basidiomycota; Agaricomycetes; Thelephorales; Thelephoraceae.